RNAcentral lists this ribosomal RNA (414 nucleotides) under Triatoma dimidiata (kissing bug). RNAcentral's name for it is "partial large subunit ribosomal RNA". It matches the Rfam family "Bacterial large subunit ribosomal RNA", at positions 1912 to 2540 of the family's 2925-position model. The record is from RNAcentral. Lineage: Eukaryota; Metazoa; Arthropoda; Insecta; Hemiptera; Reduviidae.
AGGAAUUCAAUGGCCGCAGUAUUUUAACUGUGCUAAGGUAGCAUAAUCAUUUGUCUUUUAAUUGAGGGCUGGAAUGAAAGGUUGGACGAGAUAUUGACUUUCUUUAGUUUAGUUUUAAGAAUUUAAUUUUUGAGUUAAAAAGCUUAAAUUUAUUUGUUGGACGAGAAGACCCUAUAGAUCUUUAUAAUUUUAUAUUUUGAUAAUUUGGUGAUUUUAUUUAUUGUAAGUAGAAGAAUUAUUUUGUUGGGGUGACUGUAGAAUUUUAUUAACUUCUAUUAUUUUUAUUUCAUUGAUUGGUGUUUUUUUGAUCCAUAUAUUUAUGAUUAAAAGAUUAAGUUACCUUAGGGAUAACAGCGUAAUUUUUUCGGAGAGUUCAUAUUGAUGAAGGAGUUUGCGACCUCGAUGUUGGAUUAA